UUUCAUUAGCAUUUUUCAUACUGUCCCAUCUUUUUCGGAAUUGGGGUUGUAUUUAUUUAGGCUGUCUCAAUUGCUUCUGUCUCUUUAUGUAAUCUCAGACUGACCCAAUGUUCAGUGGGGGGCUUUGUGGGGACCAUGACAUCUGUUGCAGGGCUCCCUGUUCUUCUAUUCUAAUCUUUUCUAUUUACAGAAGUAAUGUUUGGGAGUCUAACAUUUAUAUUUCCUAUUGACACUAAAGCUGAAGAUAUAAAUAACCAUCUUAAGACAAAUGCUUUUGUGAAACCUUUUAUGUGCCUAAGACUUUUGCACAGUACUGUAUAUAAGGAAAAACACUUCUCAGUAGCAGUGUGGUAGCGUAGCCAUUCUUGUAUGUAGCUUUUCAGUUUUUAAACUGCUUUAUCAAGUUAGAGUUAGGGUGCUUCGCCAUCAAGCGCUGUGUGUUGCUUGCGGGUGUCUAUGUGUGCUCGUGUGUAUGUUGGUGAGAAUGAAAGCGAGAGAGUGAGGGUGCUUUACCAUGAUUAAAAUGCAUUUAGUAUAUUAUAGAAAUUGUCAUUCUUAUCUGGUUUACUUAGCCAAUGUCUUUGUUUAAUUUGGUUAUUUUGCUGUGGUAGCCUGUAUGGCUCUUUGAAAUAAGUUAAACAAUUGUCAAAAUGAUAAGAAACCAUUAUGCGCUCAAGACCUGGAAUUACUUUAUAGCUGUGCAUUCACUGAAAAAUAAUUGCAAACCGUAUCUUUUUUUUUCACCCAAUUUGUAAUGCCCAAUUCCCGGUGCGCUUUUUUAAGUCCUUGUGGUCAUGUAGUGAUUCGCCUCAAUCCGGGUGGUGGAGGAUGAAUCCCAGUCGCCUCCGCGUCUGAGACCAUCAACCCGCGCAUCUUAUCACGUGGCUUGUUGAGUGUGUUGCCACGGAGAUAUAGCGCGUGUGGCGGCUUCACGCCAUCCGCAGCAUCCGUGCUCAACUCAGCACGCGCCCCACCGAGAACGAACCACAUUAUAGCGCCCACGAGGAGGUUACCCCAUGUGACUCUACCCUCCCUAGCAACCAGGCCAAUUUGGUUGCUUAGGAGACCUGGCUGGAGUCACUCAGCAUGGCCUGGGAUUCGAACUAGUGAACUCCAGGGGUGGUAGCCAGCGUCUUUUACCACUGAGCUACCCAGGCAUAUUUUGACAUAAGAGGCCAUUCUACUAUAAAAACAUACUGUCAAUUUCAGAACUCAAAAUUUUAUCCCCAAAGCAAUAAAAUAAUUUUUUGACACCAAGCUACAAAAACACCUCUUUCUUUACUUCUGCGACUUCCCUACGUCAUUAGGGGGCCCAUUAAUUCAUGACCGCCUCUACAGCGAAAAAAAAAAACAUGAACUGCCUACAUUGCAUCAUUGCACCCUUGGCCCUGCCCACUGGCGUACUUGGAGAGAGAGAACAGGACAAACAGGCCUUGUGUGGCCUAACUAUUCCUGAACACCAAAGGGGACCCAUCUGGACUAUUUUGAAUUAUUUUUGUAUAUAAACAUGCACUAGACAAACGUCUUUGACCGUUGUCGUGUAUCUCGCGCCGCUUUUAAAAGACGCAGUGUCAAGUUUUGCUGUUGCACAAACUGUUCUUUCGCACAUCUGCUAUAUUUUUAAUUGUUGGUGUAUGUAAACAUGCAUUAGAUGGACGUCUUUGACUGUUUUGAUGCAUUCCUGCUUCAGUGCACGAUGAUACUGUAUGUGUGUGCAUCUUCAUUGUGCUUUGGACUAUGUAUGUGUGGUUUUUCAGCUCAUAUCAGCGUGGAUUGUAUGUUUUUUCGGCUCAAGUCAACAUGGAUUUUUUUGUGAACCAGUCUAUAUGAUUCAAGUUUUGCAAAAGGAACUGUUAUUGAAGGAUGGGGCAGUUAAAAACACUUGGACCCGAUCGCAAAACCGGCCAGUCGUACAAAGCCUUUCCUCUGUCUCAUGACUACGGUAUUUACUCCAGGAGACGAGGCAAGUGAUUCCUCUGCCCCUCCAAUGAUGAUGACCAAAGCAUUACCCACACCAGUAUGGCUCAGCACAUAAUCUAAACUCUUCUUACUGACAGGCAACAGACCUAAAAAGGAGAAAAUAAAUGGAGAAACUACAUUGAAAGGACUUUUUUUAUCAGGAAAUUUUUAUUCAGGGAUACUGACCUGCACACAAAAUAUAUUCUCUGAAGAGGGGAAGGCGGAAAAGUCCGGCCAAGAUUGCAAGAGUGUUGCGCACUCCAGGAAAAGUCUCAGUGAAUCCACUACAGUCUGUACUGAAACAUGAGAAGGCU
Molecule: long non-coding RNA, 2273 nt
Organism: Myxocyprinus asiaticus (Chinese sucker)
Lineage: Eukaryota; Metazoa; Chordata; Actinopteri; Cypriniformes; Catostomidae
Exons: 3
Source: RefSeq, a predicted model, not a curated record